ACAGAUCCUCGAGAACGGUAAUGUAGACCUCGAUGCCAUCCAGGAAGUUUUGACCUCAGAAGGAAGCGGAGACUUGGUGACCCAGUUUACGAAUCUGGAUCUAUCGGUGAUGGGUGAGAAUCCACGCCAAAUAGAGACUCAAGAUCUCCUCCAGAUGUCUCCAACGAUCAAGAGACUGGUCCGGAGAAACAAGGUAUUUGCUCUCCAGCAACUGGGGGGCCAAAACAGAUUCGCUAAAAUAUCGUAUACUGAAGAUGGGAAACUGUGUCAGCAUACCUUGACCGAUGAGAUACCACCUCCAGGGAGUUACGUAACGAAGUUCAGUGGUUUGAGCUCCAUGGAUCCCACUUCCACCCUGGCGUUUAUCGAAGUGACGAGUCAGAAGUCCUUCAUGCGCUACGACGGCUGGGCACCCCGAUGGGGCC
This is a long non-coding RNA of Macrobrachium nipponense, 425 nucleotides long. RefSeq lists it as uncharacterized. The record is from RefSeq and is a predicted model, not a curated record. NCBI's taxonomy places the organism in Eukaryota, Metazoa, Arthropoda, Malacostraca, Decapoda, Palaemonidae. The transcript has 3 exons.